CGCUCAUUCUGUUCAUAACCUUUAUGGACAGAAUUUCUAGGCGCAGCCGAAGUGUUGAGGGGGUCCGUUUUGGUGGCCUCAGUAUUGCAUCUCUGCUUUUUGCAGAUGAUGUGGUACUGUUGGCUCCUUCAAGCACGGCUCUCCAACUCUCAUUGGAGCGUUUCGCAGCCGAGUGUGAAGCGGUUGGGAUGAGAAUCAGCACCUCCAAAUCUGAAACAAUGGUCCUCAGUCGGAAAAGGGUGGAGUGCCUCCCCCCCUCUAAGUCAGGGAGGAGAUCUUGCCCCAAGUGGAGGAGUUUAACUCAUUUACACCCUUUGACGUAUAAAUACGUCAAUUAGCGCUUAGCCGCUCCCUCCCCAUGAUGUAUUAAUACGUCAAUCACGUUUUUUUCAUGGGGGAGGGUGCAAGAGAGUCUGAUGCAACUUCUCACCAAAGGAUUAGGCUUGACGCCAAUGUUAAAUAGCAAAUAAAUGGCCAUCGGGUGGCAGUAGUGCAAAAAUCCACCAGGAUUACGCCGCAGAAGUAGUAGAAAGGGCGUAUAGUGGAGGAGGGAUUGGAACAUUAGCAACUAGCAAAGAUGGAGAAAAGGAAACAACUAACUAAAAAGGAUUGUUUUUUUUUCGGUCUGAAAGCGUCCUCGAAACAAAACAACAAAGGAGAUGGUGUUUGUGUGGAAGAGAAGAUGACGCUUCGGUCACGUAAUCGAAAGCAGCACCCGUCAAACGAACAUCAGCCUGCGCAAACAUGGCGUGCUGCACGCAGCCUGCAUAGCUCACGCCGAGUUUCGAGUUCAUCUGAUGAAGAUGAACAUGCUCCACAUCAGGGACCAUUGCUUGACAGAGCAUUUUGUAACUCCCAAGGGGCACAUCGCCCAAAAAUUGUCUCCCCGGCGACUUCCAGCGAUGACGGCAAAGAGGCUGCAUUGCUUCGCAUGGCCGAAGCCGAGCACACGUCAGCGAUUUGCUGGAAUCAUCUCGUAAUGACUACGGCGAAAACGAUGAACUGGAGAGCGAUUUGGAUCCCGAUCUGUCGGACGAAUACGUGCCUUUGGACAUAACGGAAAGCACCUAAGAGUUCUCGCCAGAGCCGCUGGAAUGAGGAGAUUGUCCAACCAGAAGCCAAAAGAUGACGACUCCUUGCUUUGGUGGUGGAAAGAAAGGUCGUGCAUCUGGACGUGGUGGGAUGAAUCGAUGUGGUGACAAACUGGAUGGAAGCCCAAAACCAUCCUCUCCACAGCUGCACUUUCUUUC
Long non-coding RNA from Hippocampus zosterae (dwarf seahorse), 1250 nucleotides. RefSeq lists it as uncharacterized. Lineage: Eukaryota; Metazoa; Chordata; Actinopteri; Syngnathiformes; Syngnathidae. The transcript has 3 exons. The record is from RefSeq and is a predicted model, not a curated record.